Molecule: ribosomal RNA, 235 nt
Filed under: uncultured bacterium
Lineage: Bacteria
Description: partial 16S ribosomal RNA
Rfam family: Bacterial small subunit ribosomal RNA
Source: RNAcentral
AGUUUUUAACUCAAGUGGCGAACGGGUGAGUAACACGUAAGAAUUUGCCUUUAGGAGGGGGACAAGGAUAACAUCUGAGAAAUACCCCAUAUGCUUUCGAGUGAAAUGGAUUUUUCCGCCUAGAGAGAAGCUUGCGGCUGAUUAGCUUGUUGGUAAGGUAAUGGCUUACCAAGGCGACGAUCAGUAUCUGGUUUGAGAGGACGAUCAGACACACUGGAACUGAGACACGGUCCAG